This 497-nucleotide ribosomal RNA is filed under the name uncultured bacterium. Its description in RNAcentral is "partial 16S ribosomal RNA". It matches the Rfam family "Bacterial small subunit ribosomal RNA", at positions 28 to 507 of the family's 1533-position model. The record is from RNAcentral.
GAUGAACGCUGGCGGCGUGCCUAAUACAUGCAAGUCGAGCGAACGGACGAGAAGCUUGCUUCUCUGAUGUUAGCGGCGGACGGGUGAGUAACACGUGGAUAACCUACCUAUAAGACUGGGAUAACUUCGGGAAACCGGAGCUAAUACCGGAUAAUAUUUUGAACCGCAUGGUUCAAAAGUGAAAGACGGUCUUGCUGUCACUUAUAGAUGGAUCCGCGCUGCAUUAGCUAGUUGGUAAGGUAACGGCUUACCAAGGCAACGAUGCAUAGCCGACCUGAGAGGGGGAUAGGCCACACUGGAACUGAGACACGGUCCAGACUCCUACGGGAGGCAGCAGUAGGGAAUCUUCCGCAAUGGGCGAAAGCCUGACGGAGCAACGCCGCGUGAGUGAUGAAGGUCUUCGGAUCGUAAAACUCUGUUAUUAGGGAAGAACAUAUGUGUAAGUAACUGUGCACAUCUUGACGGUACCUAAUCAGAAAGCCACGGCUAACUACGUG